RNAcentral lists this ribosomal RNA (1356 nucleotides) under uncultured bacterium. RNAcentral describes it as "bacterial SSU rRNA". It matches the Rfam family "Bacterial small subunit ribosomal RNA". The record is from RNAcentral.
AGAGUUUGAUCCUGGCUCAGGAUGAACGCUGGCGGUAUGCUUAACACAUGCAAGUCGAACGGAACUCUUCGGAGUUUAGUGGCGGACGGGUGAGUAACGCGUGAGGAUCUAGCUUCAGGACGGGGAUAACAUUGGGAAACUGAUGCUAAUACCCGAUAUGGCGAGAGCUGAAAGAUUAAUUGCCUGAAGAUGAGCUCGCGUCCGAUUAGCUAGUUGGAGUGGUAAUGGCACCCCAAGGCGACGAUCGGUAGCUGGUCUGAGAGGAUGAUCAGCCACACUGGGACUGAGACACGGCCCAGACUCCUACGGGAGGCAGCAGUGGGGAAUUUUCCGCAAUGGGCGAAAGCCUGACGGAGCAAUACCGCGCGGGAGGACGGCCUUUGGGUUGUAAACCGCUUUUCUCAGGGAAGAAGAUCUGACGGUACCUGAGGAAUCAGCAUCGGCUAACUCCGUGCCAGCAGCCGCGGUAAUAUGGAGGAUGCAAGCGUUAUCCGGAAUUAUAGGGCGUAAAGCGUCCGCAGGUGGUUUGUCAAGUCUGCUGUCAAAGCGUGGAGCUUAACUCCAUAAGGGCGGUGGAAACUGAUUAACUAGAGGAUGGUAGGGGUCACGGGAAUUCCCAGUGUAGCGGUGAAAUGCGUAGAUAAUGGGAAGAACACCAGCGGCGAAAGCGCGUGACUGGGCCAUUACUGACACUCAUGGACGAAAGCUAGGGGAGCGAAAGGGAUUAGAUACCCCUGUAGUCCUAGCUGUAAACGAUGGACACUAGGUGUUGCCCGUAUCGACCCGGGCAGUGCCGUAGCCAACGCGUUAAGUGUCCCGCCUGGGGAGUACGCACGCAAGUGUGAAACUCAAAGGAAUUGACGGGGGCCCGCACAAGCGGUGGAGUAUGCGGUUUAAUUCGAUGCAACGCGGAGAACCUUACCAGGGCUUGACAUCCUCCGAAUUCUUGGGAAACUGAGAAGUGCCUUCGGGAGCGGAGAGACAGGUGGUGCAUGGCUGUCGUCAGCCCGUGUCGUGAGAUGUUGGGUUAAGUCCCGCAACGAGCGCAACCCACGUUUUUAGUUGCCAGCAUUCAGUUGGGCACUCUAGAGAGACUGCCGGUGACAAACCGGAGGAAGGUGUGGAUGACGUCAAGUCAGCAUGCCCCUUACGUCCUGGGCUACACACGUACUACAAUGCUUCGGACAGAGGGUUGCCAACCCGCGAGGGUGCGCUAAUCCCGUAAACCGAGGCUCAGUUCAGAUUGCAGGCUGCAACUCGCCUGCAUGAAGGCGGAAUCGCUAGUAAUCGCCGGUCAGCAUACGGCGGUGAAUACGUUCCCGGGCCUUGUACACACCGCCCGUCACACCAUGGGAG